GAACUGGUCUGUGCAGUGGGCACAUAAUUUGUUUUUAAAAUAUAAACAGGUUAGUGCUUGAGGAUGUUUUAAAGAAACUUACUGUUAUUUUGCGCAGGAUGGAAAGGCAUAGUCUGCCAUAUGCAUAGGUGGGGGAAGGAAGAUCCCAUCACCAGUGAGAUCAUGGAUCUUUCCUUCAAAGUACACAAAUUAUUUAUUCUGAUUGAUUUGCUGGUUGUUAUUGUUUGUCCUUCAUUCUCAGAGAGGACCAUGACAUCAGGGAGGUGAUAUCAUGACAUGCAAGUGAAUUAGAUUUAGGUGAGGGAGGGCUGUGCAAGGUCACCAGUCUCACUUUGUCUUCCAGACCCAUUUAGUCCCAGUGGUCAGAUACAGAUCAGAAUGACUGGAAAUGGCCCUGGAUGUGGUGGAAGAACUUGGCCCUUUUAAGCUAAGGCCUUUAAAAGGUGUCAGUUUGACUGAGGCAAUGCCCAAUCAAUAAUUAAGGAUAAGUAAGAAACAGUCAAAGAAUGACCUCUUUUACCUAGUUAAAAAAUUAAUCUGGAAGAAGACUUUGAGGGUUUCUGGCCAAAACACAAAUAAUUGUUCUUUAAUUCACUCUGAGACAAUCAAAGCCCCAAAAAUGAUCAAAUGGGGCUUGAUUUGGGACCUACUGUUGAUCAAAGAAAACCAGAGUGAUUUGGGUUUAAGCAUGUUCCUAGCCCUUAAACCCUAAGAUAUCUUGCAAGGUUUCAGGGGUCAAAAUUCAUAUUAUUUUGGAUAGAGCACAUGUAGGUAAGGGCAUAAUAUUUUUUAUGGACAGAGGGAAGGGAAGGGAAGGGAAAGAAGGAAAAAAAAAAGAGAAGAGAAAGAAGAGAAAAGAAAAGGACUCAACUAAUCAGUCCCAAUUGGAUCCCCAAUGGAGCAGCUCCAAUUUGCUUGUGUAUCAUGGUGUGGGGAAUAGAUAAGGUGAAGAACUUACAAGGAUGUAUGAAUUCUUUUUCUGUAUUUUAUUAUUUCUGUGUCUCCCCUAUGAGCUGUAUAAUAUGUGCAGGCUCAUAUCUACUUGAGCCUUGGCCAGCUAGAAACAUAUUUACUUAACCUGAACUGAUGACAUUUAUUGGUAUUUGACAUUUAUCAAUAUUUAGUCUAUUAGCUGGACCACUGUCUGCUUGAUUAAGCCUGAAGGCCUGACUUUGUUUCCCAGAAAUCAGGAGAUUUCAGGGAAACAGAAACCUUCCAUUCCAAUCUCCCCAAAUAGCAACAACCAAUUAGCUGCCUCCCCCUCCCCUUCUCAAUGUUCUCUUACUUGUGAUGUAAUUUCUUGUAUAAAAGCUAUGUAUCUUUACUACUUCUUUAGCCCUCCUACCGCGAGCUUAUCUUGCGAUGGGACGGCUCAUCCUCCGGAGGUUUUUCAAUAAACAACUUUUCUGCCUUCUACUGAGGGAUCUCUGAGUAGUCAUUUUGGGUAAGGGUCUUCUACAUCCCUCACAGAUGGGGGCUCGUCCGGGAUGGGGUCUUUGGGGGAGAUGGCUAUGUGCACCCCGAACAGGGACAGGCGCCCACGGAGUAGUUUUCUCCAUGGUCUCUGGCUCUGGGUGAGCAGCCUCCCUCCCCUCUUAGACAACGACCCGAAGCAGGAAUACUCAGUGGAACGCAGAAUUGAAGAUUGAAAGAAGUAGAGUCCUGAUGGCCGGCAUUUGCAGCCUGAAAAGAAACAUAUGUUCUCGAGAUUAUUGAAUCUCUUCUGAGACAUGGAUCGGCCCAUCUGAAGCUUAGAUUGACACCACACCCACACCCCUGCAUGAAUUGAGCACCUUCGCCCAUUUCUCAGCCUGAAGCAGCUAAGAUCGAGACCAUCGCCAGUGCUCCUGAUGUAAUUUGGACUGAUAUGGGGGAAGUGGGAAAGUGGUUGAUGAAUUAUUGUUAAAAUUACAAUUCUAUUACUAGAGUUAGAAAAAAAUGCAAACAUUACUGUGUGUUUAAGAUUUGGGAUGGAAAUUAUUAAAAAUGGUAACUAUUGCUGUUAAGGAAGCUAUAAAAUGUUUAUAAUAUCUAUGUUCACUUCAGAAUAUGUAAUUGUUUAAGGUAUUUGAUUUGAUUUGAUUUGAUUGAUUUUAGGAAACUCCUGUACUAGACUGUUAUGUAUAGGAACUUUAAUUCACUCUUGGGAUUUAUAUGUGGAUGGUUAUUUGACUAUUUACUUUUUUUUUUUUUUUUGGAUGAUUCCUUUCCAUGAGGAAAAAAAAGGAGAGGAAGAGAUAGGGAACUAGGGAAACUGGUGGAUUUUUCUCAAAAUACCUAAAAGAGUGGGAACCCUUAGUUUUCUUUCACUUUUGCCUUUCAUACUUCUGCCCCAUCCCCUAUACCACCAGUUCAGAUUAAAUUGGAAGUCCUUAAGCAAUCUUUUUUGUUUUUACUAUGUUUUAGCUUUGAAACCCCUCAUUCUGUGGAAUUGCCCUGGCAGACUCAGUUUUGGGAACUAUUCUGUUUUAAAGAAGAUUAAGAUUAAGACACUUGUCUUGGGACUGGCAAUCUCCAGCCCUGUAACCCCAGUUUCUUAACUGGUACCUCAGCAUUUUUAAUAACAUUGCCCUUUUGAGAUCAAGCCUCUAAAGUUUGGGGUUUGCCUGCCUUCAUGUUCUAACUGUGCAUGCUCUGAUAGCUCUGCUCAGAAAUCUGUAUUCUAGUAGCAGCCCUGUCUGUCCCCCUGGGUGGGGACAGGUGGAGCUACUCUAAGCCUCACCCUUCUCCCCUGGAGUGGGUUGCCCCUAUGAAUGGGCAGCAUGACUGUCUCGAGCCCUGCUACUCCCUAUAUAAGCAGAAGCUGAGUUAAGUGCACAAAUGACUGCAGACCCCCUAACACAGUGAACUGUCCAUCUCAAACUGGAUUCUCUGGCUGAGAUGAGGGCCUUUGUACUGCUGAUAACUCUGGGGUUGUCAGGAAGAGACUUGUCCUCGCCAUAAGUCCUUGCAUUUUCUAGUUUCAUUUUGAUUUAUUUGCCUCACAUUGGAUUGGUCAAAAUUAUGGUGCUGAGACCUCCCAGGUAUCUUAGGGAGGUAAUUCAAUAAUUCAAAUAUUCAGAAGAAGAGUGUGUAAUGUUGUGCCUCAGUUCCCCUAGAUUGUCAUCUUUAUCUGUCUUUUUAUUUUUAUGUUUGCCAAAUGCCAAUCUGUUCUAUGAUAACUGUUUCUAAGAUAGUUGGUGGAAGCAAUUUUUAUGGUAUGAACUUAUUGCAAUCAAUGGUAUUAUCCUGUUGCUGCUAUGCCUACCCUGUAUAAUUACAUUAGUAACCAGAAUAGUUCAGUGGUCCCUAUCAAAAUAUUGCAUACAGAAAAUGCUAUUAAAAUGAUGAUUUUUCAGAGAAAAGACUGGAAUGUAUUAAAGAGGGAUGAUCUUGAUUGUGAACUUGAUAAACAAUGUAUAGAUAUAUUAACUGAUUUUGAAAAGUGUGUAAGUUCUUCAUAGAAAUGUGAUAAAAAUCAUUUACAUAUUAGAAGGGGGGAGCUGUGGGGAAUAGAUAAGGUGAAGAACUUACAAGGAUGUAUGAAUUCUUUUUCUGUAUUUUAUUAUUUCUGUGUCUCCCCUAUGAGCUGUAUAAUAUGUGCAGGCUCAUAUCUACUUGAGCCUUGGCCAGCUAGAAACAUAUUUACUUAACCUGAACUGAUGACAUUUAUUGGUAUUUGACAUUUAUCAAUAUUUAGUCUAUUAGCUGGACCACUGUCUGCUUGAUUAAGCCUGAAGGCCUGACUUUGUUUCCCAGAAAUCAGGAGAUUUCAGGGAAACAGAAACCUUCCAUUCCAAUCUCCCCAAAUAGCAACAACCAAUUAGCUGCCUCCCCCUCCCCUUCUCAAUGUUCUCUUACUUGUGAUGUAAUUUCUUGUAUAAAAGCUAUGUAUCUUUACUACUUCUUUAGCCCUCCUACCGCGAGCUUAUCUUGCGAUGGGACGGCUCAUCCUCCGGAGGUUUUUCAAUAAACAACUUUUCUGCCUUCUA
Antechinus flavipes (yellow-footed antechinus) is the source of this 3971-nucleotide long non-coding RNA. RefSeq lists it as uncharacterized. Lineage: Eukaryota; Metazoa; Chordata; Mammalia; Dasyuromorphia; Dasyuridae. The transcript has 2 exons. The record is from RefSeq and is a predicted model, not a curated record.